Molecule: non-coding RNA, 45 nt
Filed under: Echinostoma caproni
Lineage: Eukaryota; Metazoa; Platyhelminthes; Trematoda; Plagiorchiida; Echinostomatidae
Source: RNAcentral
GGACUGCUGAAGAGUCUCAAACAGGACAAAACAGCUGUCCAGUGC